CCUGGCUCAGAUUGAACGCUGGCGGCAGGCCUAACACAUGCAAGUCGAGCGGAUGAAGGGAGCUUGCUCCCGGAUUCAGCGGCGGACGGGUGAGUAAUGCCUAGGAAUCUGCCUGGUAGUGGGGGAUAACGUUCAUAAAGGAACGCUAAUACCGCAUACGUCCUACGGGAGAAAGCAGGGGACCUUCGGGCCUUGCGCUAUCAGAUGAGCCUAGGUCGGAUUAGCUAGUUGGUGAGGUAAUGGCUCACCAAGGCGACGAUCCGUAACUGGUCUGAGAGGAUGAUCAGUCACACUGGAACUGAGACACGGCCCAGACUCCUACGG
Molecule: ribosomal RNA, 324 nt
Filed under: uncultured bacterium
Lineage: Bacteria
Description: bacterial SSU rRNA
Rfam family: Bacterial small subunit ribosomal RNA
Source: RNAcentral